RNAcentral lists this ribosomal RNA (519 nucleotides) under uncultured eukaryote. Its description in RNAcentral is "SSU rRNA". It matches the Rfam family "Eukaryotic small subunit ribosomal RNA", at positions 1161 to 1705 of the family's 1831-position model. The record is from RNAcentral.
AGGGCACCACAAGGAGUGGAGCCUGCGGCUUAAUUUGACUCAACACGGGAAAGCUUACCUGGUCCGGACACUGGAAGGAUUGACAGAUUGAUAGCUCUUUCUUGAUUUAGUGGAUGGUGGUGCAUGGCCGUUCUUAGCUCGUGGAGUGAUUUGUCUGGUUAAUUCCGACAAUGAGCGAGAUUCUACCCUACUAAAUAAUAUUUUGGAUUUAUACUCCAGUAAUGUUUCUUAGUGGGACAAUGUACGUGUAGUACAAUGAGACAGAGUAAUAACAGGUCUGUGAUGCCCUUAGAUGUUCGGGGCUGCACGCGCGCUACAAUGAAAGAUGCAAUGUGUAUCGUUUUAGUUUUGACAAACUAAAUAAUCUUAAAAUAUUUUUCAUAACAGGGAUGGGGGAUUGAAAUUAUGCCCCUUGAACGAGGAAUUCCCAGUAAAUAUUAAUCAUUAGUUAGUGUUGAUUACGUCCCUGCCCUUUGUACACACCGCCCGUCGCUACAACCGAUUGAAUGGUUUAGUAAG